Oryza sativa Indica Group (long-grained rice) is the source of this 206-nucleotide microRNA precursor. It matches the Rfam family "MIR812 microRNA precursor family". Lineage: Eukaryota; Viridiplantae; Streptophyta; Magnoliopsida; Poales; Poaceae. The record is from Rfam.
AAAAAAGUAAACCAUGAGUUUCCGGUGUCCAACUUUGACUGUCCAUCUUAUAUGAAAUUUUUUUAUAAUUCGUAUUUUUAUUGUUGUUAGAUGAUAAAAUAUAAUUAAUAUUUUAUGCGUGACUUGUCUUUUUAAUAUUUUUCAUAAUUUUUUCAAAUAAGAUGAAUGGUCAAACGUUGGACACGAAAAUCAGAGUUUGUCUUUUU